UGGUGAUCUUUGGUUAUUUGUGCUGAAGGAAGAUACAUCAACUACCAACAUCAGGUAAGAAGCAUUAAGUGGAGUAUAUCUAUGGAGGAAUUAUACACUUGUCAUUUUUGUUCCAUUAAGGCUCCUUAUUAAUGUUUCUACUGUUUUCAUGCUUUCACGCGAUAAUUUCCUUCUCCCUUUUACCACCGGCCUCUCUUGUAUGAGUGUAUCAAUCAAGGUAUCAUUAUUAGUAAUACCUUAAUGAAUGUUUCUGAGGAUAAAAAAAGUAUGGCUGAUAAACAAUGAUCAGUUGAAAUCAUGAGAUAGUGGUAUCUGUAACUAGGUAAUCUUUAGGAGAAAAGGCUAAAAAUUUAUGAUAAUAACUACUAUGGCUAAUAUGCAGUUGUUUACUCCACAUAUAUGAAAAACUUUAUGAUAAUAACGAUUGACGAUUGUGACUUUUUGGUUGCUUACCUUAUUUUGCAGUCAACUCUUUGAUGAACACUAAAUCUCUUCUAACCAAUAUUUCAUUCAUUAAAUUCAAUUUGAUCAGUCGUGAUUGCUGGUAGAAUGCAUGUCAAAAGGAUUUAAUUGGCAUAUUUCAGAUAGUAGUCUAGAUGAUAGCUGAAUAUUAUUGUAUCAUAACAUAGGCAAGAACACUACAUGCAUAGUGAUUGAUUAAUUGAUUUCGAUGAGCUUCUGUAGUAUUUAUUUGCUGGUUUUCAGCUCGACUUGUUUUGUUGAUUUUAGUCAGCUAUAUGCUUGCUUUUUGACCAUUCCACUAAAGUGGACUAAAGAUACUGCUGAGAAGAAAAAUGAAAAACCAGUCUAGUCUUUGCAAGACAAUUCUUCUACCUCUGUUUCUGACUUUGUUUCAUUAUCAAUUUUUCUACUGGAUUAAAUUGUACAUUUUUUCUUCACUGAAGUUUGUAUAUUCUAUGACCUUGGGAUCAACAUUUAUCCAAAUUUGGCAGUAUAUCCCAUUAAGUUUGGUCUUGAGAUUUCUUUAGAAUUCUGAUUUGCUUUGCUGCUAUUGCAAGAUUGUUUAGAGGCAUUUAAUUCACCUAAGUCUUACUUGUGAUGUCUGAGAUAUCUUGGCUUCUUGUCAUGUAUUGAUUCCGUCCCGCUCACUUGAUUGUCCUAUUUCAGUUUGAGUUGAUUACUAAAAGAACAGUCGAAAGUGUGUGUUUUUUAAGAAUGAGAUUUUGUGUGUGGGAGACACCGGAUUUGCUUUUGUGCAUACCUUACUACUCAAAGUUUGUCUUAUCUCUGGCCUUUUGAACAGAACAUGAAGACAUAUAAUUUAUUAAAGAGAGUUAACUCCUAGCAAAAUGCCCCAUGCACUACUAAAAUUACUACUGCAACCAUCAGUAUUUAGUUUAAGAUGGACUGAGUUAGAUCUUAUCCGUCAUACCAUUUGGGUCUAUAUAACUAUUUAAUUCUACCUUUUUAGCCCAUGAAUUUGAUAACUUGGGAAAUCAACUUUGUAUCAAUAUGUCCAUCAUCCAGCAUAUCCCUAUUGAAUAAUAGAUCUCAUGUUAUUUUAAUUACUCCAUAUACGAAACACUAGUGGUAGCAGAAUUUUACUGAGGGACUAAAUUUUUUUAAUCUCUCAUCAUUAUAUCCUAUGAGGUGUUCUUACAUUGUUGCUGGAUUUCUGAUUAUCUUAUGAAGAAAAAGAAGAAUAAAAAUGGUCAUGUCUUAUCAAUAGAGAAUCUGCUUGGCAGACAUUCACGCGAGACGGGUAUGCUAGCAGAUAUUUAGUGAAAUGUCUUUCCCUCAGGCCAUGACUAUCGUUUUGAGCAUAAACAAUUAGCUCUUUGUGGGUUGUUUAUAACUAGUUGAAUGCAACAAUCUCAAGAUUAUCUUAGUUAUAUUAAUUUGAAGCCUGUCAAAGUGGCGAUAAACACUAUAUAAUAUUCUAUAUGAUUUAAGAGGUGAAGAAAAAAUAAGAUGUGUAGCAGCUAAAGAGAUUGACAUUACAUUUUUGCUCUUGAUCUUACAGAGACUUAAAGAAUCAUGAAUCAACAAGGGUGUUCGAGAAAUCAUCAAAAAGCUAAAAACUUUCUUUCAGCUGGAUCACUAGUAGUUCUACGAAACAAACAAAUACUAGAACAGAAGAAAAAAAAGAAGAAGAAGAAGAAGAAGAAGAAGAAGAAGAGCACAAGCUACAUAAAUGCAAAGGAAAA
This 2168-nucleotide long non-coding RNA is filed under the name Capsicum annuum. RNAcentral describes it as "long non-coding RNA (CANN_LNC004130)". The record is from RNAcentral. Lineage: Eukaryota; Viridiplantae; Streptophyta; Magnoliopsida; Solanales; Solanaceae.